This 305-nucleotide ribosomal RNA is filed under the name uncultured bacterium. RNAcentral describes it as "bacterial SSU rRNA". It matches the Rfam family "Bacterial small subunit ribosomal RNA", at positions 337 to 659 of the family's 1533-position model. The record is from RNAcentral.
CCCUACGGGGCGCAGCAGUAGGGAAUAUUGCUCAAUGGGGGAAACCCUGAAGCAGCAACGCCACGUGGAGGAUGAAGGUUUUCGGAUUGUAAACUCCUUUUGUUAGAGAAGAUAAUGACGGUAUCUAACGAAUAAGCACCGGCUAACUCCGUGCCAGCAGCCGCGGUAAUACAUAGGGGGCAAGCGUUAUCCGGAAUUAUUGGGUGUAAAGGGUGCGUAGACGGAAGAACAAGUUGGUUGUGAAAUCCCUCGGCUCAACUGAGGAACUGCAACCAAAACUAUUCUCCUUGAGUGUCGGAGAGGAG